RNAcentral lists this long non-coding RNA (1263 nucleotides) under Ficedula albicollis (Collared flycatcher). Its description in RNAcentral is "lncRNA (ENSFALG00000027598.1)". The record is from RNAcentral. Lineage: Eukaryota; Metazoa; Chordata; Aves; Passeriformes; Muscicapidae.
AUGCGCUGUGGACCAGCACCGAGGUGCGCUCUGCCUCAACUUCCUUCCCAGCACGGAGCCGAUUUCCUCCAGCAUCACGUGCACGGUGUGGGGCCAGGACGGGCCGGCACAGCACGGCAGCGCUCGGCCCUGCAGACGGCCCGUGCCGCAGGUAGGAGUGAGCAGCCGAGGGUCCCGCGCACGGGGAUCGUCCCAAGGGCAGCAGCUGCGUGUGGUCACACUGCUCCAGGGCUGUGCUCUCCCUGGGCUCCAGGAGAGCUGCCGGUGGGGCUGGCAGGAUGCUGGGCACUUCUGGGCACCAUCACCCCUGUGCCACCAGAGCAAAGGAGCACUGGGCCUUGGAUGGGGGUGUCCUCAUCCCUGCAGCCCUUGGGGCUUCCGCCGUAUCUUUGGGUGGGUAAUGCCAGCGCCAUUUUUGGUGUCUGCAUGGCCUCUGUGGCAAGGGCUGUGCUGGUGGCAGCAGCAGGGAGCAGGCAGCACCAUGGCUGCUGGCCAACCGUGGGGACAUGGCGACCGAUGGCAGUGAUGGUGUGGCCAGCCAUGGUGACAGGGGGCCCUGCCAUGGGGACAGGGGGCCCUGCCAUGCCCAUGGCCUGGCGUCCUGUACCUCACCGUGCCACCAGGCUUGUCCUGGUGUCACCCCGGGGUUCAGCAGUGCAGGGAUGCUGCUGUGCUGAGGAUGGUGGUGGGAUGACGUCUUGUGCGGCCCGUGCUGCUGCUCAGGAGAACUCUGCAGCUGCCUGGUCCGCCACACGCAGAGGAAGCGCCGACCACAGCAGGGCUGGGAGAGGCUGUGACAAGGAUCCUUCCCCAGCGCCUGACGAGCCCCUUUGCUCCCUGGCAGCCGGAACCAAAGCGCCGACCACAGCGGGGCUGGGAGAGGCUGUGACAAGGAUCCUUCCCCAGCGCCUGACGAGCCCCUUUGCUCCCUGGCAGCCGGAACCACAGCGAAGGACAAGGAGGGCAAGGACGGGGAGCCCCCCCGGUGAGUCCUGGGGGACAGGGAAGGGCAGGGAUGUGCCUGGGACGGGUCCCCUGGGCCAGGGCAUGUCACAGCAGGAAGUGCUUCCUGCCCCACUCUUGGUAGUGCUGAUCUCAGCCCCAGCCCUGUUCCUGCCUCUCCCCAGAGCUCCCAGCACCAGCGAGGAUGGAGCCAACCAAGAUCCCACUCACCAAAAGGGCAGUUCCUGCUCCCCCUAUUCCUGCCAAGACCAAACCAUCCCCUGUACUGGCCACCAAGUAAGAAACAAGGGGCUGUGUUAG